GGGUACUAGGCUAAAAUUCAAAGACACAAAAGAGACUUGAAAGAAACCGCGGGAGUUGAAUUUACAAAAGAUUUCAUUCACUUCAACAACAACUCUAUAGCAAUUAUUUUCUCUUCUCCUUUCUCUUUUUUUUCUUUCUUUUUUUUCUUUUUCGGAAGGAGUAUGCAUUGACAUGGAUUGAAAUCUUUCUAUUUUUUUUGUUUUCUAUUUUCUCUUUCUCUUUUUCUUUUCUUUUUCUUCCAACUUCUGAAAUAUUACAAACAUAAUUAUUCAACUCCAAACAAAACACUUUCAACCCUUUGAAUAGGGUGAUAACAUUGUUUUUCACUUCUUGACUUGUAAUGAGUUGUAAAAAAGUAGGAUAAUAGGAUCAAGGGGGUUUCAAAUAAGGGAUGAUAUUAUUUCAGGGUUGACUUUUUGGCUAACUGGCUAAAAAUAAAAUAAAAUAAAAACAAAAUUGCCUUUAUCAUAUCAGCGUGCACAGGUAAACAACAUCAUCAAUAAGAGUCAAUUCAAGUUCUAGAGACUAACAAACAUGAGUGAAUAACACAAGAAAAUGAGAGAUGGAUUUUUGUAUGUUAUCCAUAUAGGGCUCAAAACUCACAAGGGUUAAUGAUCUACUGCUAAAGAUGUACAAUUCAAAGUUUAUUCCUACCUAUCAUACUAAAAAUGCACAACAAAUUUUUCACAUCACACCAUAAGACUUUAGUCAAGAGAACUAAGAAAAAUACUCAUAAUUGUAACUAAAAAAACAAAAGGAAAAAGCAUGCAAUUUUUUUAUUUAAGAAAGCAAACAAAAACCAAAAACAGAGAAAAAAUGAAAACAAAACAAAUAAAUGGUUCCAUCCCCCACACUUAAAAGAUGCACUGUCUUCAAUGAAGGGACACAACUAUUAAAUAAGAGUGAGAGAAA
RNAcentral lists this long non-coding RNA (913 nucleotides) under Lathyrus oleraceus (garden pea). Its description in RNAcentral is "Pisum sativum (pea) long non-coding RNA (PSAT_LNC021767)". Lineage: Eukaryota; Viridiplantae; Streptophyta; Magnoliopsida; Fabales; Fabaceae. The record is from RNAcentral.